RNAcentral lists this ribosomal RNA (69 nucleotides) under Asparagus officinalis (garden asparagus). RNAcentral describes it as "partial large subunit ribosomal RNA". Lineage: Eukaryota; Viridiplantae; Streptophyta; Magnoliopsida; Asparagales; Asparagaceae. The record is from RNAcentral.
UGACCACGACCCCACGUCAGGCGGGGCCACCCGCUGAGUUUAAGCAUAUCACAGGGGGGGGGGAAAAAA